RNAcentral lists this long non-coding RNA (324 nucleotides) under Coturnix japonica (Japanese quail). Its description in RNAcentral is "lncRNA (ENSCJPG00005014830.1)". The record is from RNAcentral. Lineage: Eukaryota; Metazoa; Chordata; Aves; Galliformes; Phasianidae.
AGGAGAUGCGGGACGUCUGGGCUGAGGGACCCCCAUCAUUGGAGGAGAAUACACGCCUGGACCUCAGCCUGGGUUUAGAUCUGAGAUGCCUCCUGAGCUGCUGAAAUGGAAGCUUGGCAAAAAGCAAAGGCACCCUGAAGGGACAGCUGCAAGGAGGAAGUCAGAGUGCUUUGAGGCAAGGAGUAUUCUGGUACCUGCAGAAGCCAUCCGGGAUGCUGCUCUUCCUCCCUGUGCUCUCACAAGCAAAGGCAAAUGAGGUAGGGACUGCUGGGACAGCCCUUAAGGUUGAACUCCCAUUUUCCUUCUUCCCUCUUAAAAUUAAUU